This is a non-coding RNA of Meleagris gallopavo (turkey), 282 nucleotides long. NCBI's taxonomy places the organism in Eukaryota, Metazoa, Chordata, Aves, Galliformes, Phasianidae. The record is from RefSeq and is a predicted model, not a curated record.
AAAGGACAAAAGGGCAAGCUAGGAACUGCUGGAUUUUGGAGACUGAAGAAUCAAUGAAGACAAAAAAACAGCAGGUGUUCAGGGACAAAAUUGAACGCCAACGAGCAAUAAGGGCCAACUUCUCCAUAAGGGAUAGGAGCCAUGUCAGAUGAUCUCCCAGCAGGGCAUGAGACCAGUCCCUACAGGGUCCCAUGAGUUCUUUCCUUCCAUAUGUGAAGCCAAGACAUUAGUGCCACGCAGCGUAUGAAUGGAUCUACCACUUCCUGCCUCAUAUUACUGCCA